GACGAACGCUGGCGGCGUGCUUAACACAUGCAAGUCGAACGGAAAGGCCCUGCUUUUGUGGGGUGCUCGAGUGGCGAACGGGUGAGUAACACGUGAGUAACCUGCCCUUGACUUUGGGAUAACUUCAGGAAACUGGGGCUAAUACCGGAUAGGAGCUCCUGCUGCAUGGUGGGGGUUGGAAAGUUUCGGCGGUUGGGGAUGGACUCGCGGCUUAUCAGCUUGUUGGGGGGGGAGUGGCUUACCAAGGCUUUGACGGGUAGCCGGCCUGAGCGGGUGACCGGGCACAUUGGGACUGAGAUACGGCCCAGACGCCUACGGGAGGCAGCAGUGGGGAAUAUUGCACAAUGGGCGGAAGCCUGAGGCAGCAACGCCGCGUGCGGGAUGACGGCCUGCGGGUUGUAAACCGCUGUCGCCGGUAACGAAGCGUGAGUGACGGUAAUGGGUAAGGAAGCACCGGCUAACUACGUG
RNAcentral lists this ribosomal RNA (468 nucleotides) under uncultured bacterium. RNAcentral describes it as "partial 16S ribosomal RNA". It matches the Rfam family "Bacterial small subunit ribosomal RNA", at positions 28 to 507 of the family's 1533-position model. The record is from RNAcentral.